UUAAAAAGCUCGUAGUUGAACCUUGGGCCUGGCUGGCCGGUCCGCCUCACCGCGUGCACUGGUCCGGCCGGGUCUUUCCCUCUGGGGAGCCGCAUGCCCUUUACUGGGUGUGGCGGGGAAACAGGACUUUUACUUUGAAAAAAUUAGAGCGCUUCAAGAAGGCCUAUGCUCGAAUACAUUAGCAUGGAAUAAUGAAAUAGGACGCGCGGUUCUAUUUUGUUGGUUUCUAGGACCGCCGUAAUGAUUAAUAGGGACAGUCGGGGGCAUCAGUAUUCAAUUGUCAGAGGUGAAAUUCUUGGAUUUAUUGAAGACUAACUACUGCGAAAGCAUUUGCCAAGGAUGUUUUCAUUAAUCAGGAACGAAAGUUAGGGGAUCGAAGACGAUCAGAUACCGUCGUAGUCUUAACCAUAAACUAUGCCGACUAGGGAUCGGACGAUGUUGUUUAUUGACUCGUUCGGCACCUUACGAGAAAUCAAAGUGCUUGGGCUCCAGGGGGAGUAUGGUCGCAAGGCUGAAACUUAAAGAAAUUGACGGAAGGGCACCACCAGGGGUGGAGCCUGCGGCUUAAUUUGACUCAACACGGGGAAACUCACCAGGUCCAGACACAAUAAGGAUUGACAGA
This 622-nucleotide ribosomal RNA is filed under the name Camarotella licaniae. Its description in RNAcentral is "SSU rRNA". It matches the Rfam family "Eukaryotic small subunit ribosomal RNA", at positions 619 to 1247 of the family's 1831-position model. Lineage: Eukaryota; Fungi; Ascomycota; Sordariomycetes; Phyllachorales; Phyllachoraceae. The record is from RNAcentral.